UAAACCUACGGGACGCAGCAGUGGGGAAUAUUGCACAAUGGGGGAAACCCUGAUGCAGCAACGCCGCGUGAAGGAAGACGGUUUUCGGAUUGUAAACUUCUUUUCUUAGUGAAGAAGCAAGUGACGGUAGCUAAGGAAUAAGCAUCGGCUAACUACGUGCCAGCAGCCGCGGUAAUACGUAGGAUGCGAGCGUUAUCCGGAAUUACUGGGUGUAAAGGGAGCGCAGGCGGGACUGCAAGUUGGAUGUGAUAUACCGCAGCUUAACUGCGGGGCUGCAUCCCAAACUUGAGUUCUUGAGUGGAGUA
This 305-nucleotide ribosomal RNA is filed under the name uncultured bacterium. RNAcentral's name for it is "bacterial SSU rRNA". It matches the Rfam family "Bacterial small subunit ribosomal RNA", at positions 334 to 653 of the family's 1533-position model. The record is from RNAcentral.